GUGCUUUGCAAAAAAGAAAAAAAGUCCAGAUAAAGUUUUUAAAGACGUAGUAGUUAGAUUUAGAGCUGGAGAAAAUACAAGGGAGGGAAUUAUAAAAACUCAGUGUAAUCACAUUUUGUCGAAGGGUAGAAUGGUCCAUUUUUUAAUAUCAAAUAACAAAUAAAAUAGAUUAAAUAAAAUACCAUGCUGACUAAUGUAAAUAAAAAAAUCAAAAUCAAAAGUCUUUCUGUAUGGUCAAGUACCGACUGAUCCAGGGCCUGGUACUGGGGGGCCGCUAGAUUAUAGAACAGAAACACGUAGGAAACCAACUACUGUUCUCUUUUAACAGCAGCUGCAGAAGACGUUGAACGUCAACGUCAGUAAUGCCAGGAACUUCCCAGAGAUCAGCUGUGCAAAAACAGCUGAUUACGUCACACCAGGGCAGGCAAACCCUGCAGAUCUAAAUGUCCAUGCGUUUUUUGAGAUUGAGCGAGAGACAUACAGUUAUACAGUUAAAUACAAAAAUACGCUCGACACCGCUACAAACUAUCGGGAGGUUCGUUUCUGUCACGUCUUAAUCACAAGUGGCGUCAGCUGGGUUGCUUUAGCUGUGUCGCGGCAGUACCACGCCGUCAGCGCCGUGGAUUCUAUGGACUCACACGCCAACUACAAAGAACGGGGCAACUGUAGUACCUGAGGGCAGCAGGCAGUCCAAAGGUGACAACUCUUUAUCCAUGGCUGGCAUUCAAAGAAGACACAAAAUCAUUAAAAACAAAAUUCAGGACUUCCGCCUUAGACCAUGUAAACAGUCGAAGAGAGUAAUGUUCAGGGAGAGAAGGGAGCCUCCGACAGGAAGAGGAGGCUUGAUUUACCUGUGGGGACAUCUAGAGGUAAUAAGUGG
Long non-coding RNA from Cynoglossus semilaevis (tongue sole), 880 nucleotides. RefSeq lists it as uncharacterized. The transcript is spliced from 3 exons. The record is from RefSeq and is a predicted model, not a curated record. Lineage: Eukaryota; Metazoa; Chordata; Actinopteri; Pleuronectiformes; Cynoglossidae.